UAGGGAAUUUUCCACAAUGGGCGAAAGCCUGAUGGAGCAACACCGCGUGCAGGAUGAAGGCCCUCGGGUCGUAAACUGCUUUUUCUGUGAUGAAUAUGACAGUAGCAGACGAAUAAGGAUCGGCUAACUCCGUGCCAGCAGCCGCGGUCAUACGGAGGAUCCAAGCGUUAUCCGGAAUUACUGGGCGUAAAGAGUUGCGUAGGCGGUCUUGUAAGCAGGGCAUGAAAUAGUGUGGCUCAACCAUACUGCU
RNAcentral lists this ribosomal RNA (250 nucleotides) under uncultured bacterium. RNAcentral's name for it is "partial 16S ribosomal RNA". It matches the Rfam family "Bacterial small subunit ribosomal RNA", at positions 355 to 622 of the family's 1533-position model. The record is from RNAcentral.